GACGAACGCUGGCGGCGUGCUUAACACAUGCAAGUCGAACGGAAAGGCCCUGCUUGCAGGGUACUCGAGUGGCGAACGGGUGAGUAACACGUGGGUGAUCUGCCCUGCACUUCGGGAUAAGCUUGGGAAACUGGGUCUAAUACCGGAUAGGAGCCAUCUUUAGUGUGGUGGUUGGAAAGAUUUUUCGGUGUAGGAUGAGCUCGCGGCCUAUCAGCUUGUUGGUGGGGUAAUGGCCUACCAAGGCGGCGACGGGUAGCCGGCCUGAGAGGGUGUACGGCCACAUUGGGACUGAGAGACGGCCCAGACUCCUACGGGAGGCAGCAGUGGGGAAUAUUGCACAAUGGGCGCAAGCCUGAUGGAGCGACGCCGCGUGGGUGAUGAAGGCCUUCGGGUUGUAAACUCCUUUCGCUAGGGACGAAGCGUUUUUGUGACGGUACCUAGAUAAGAAGCACCGGCUAACUACGUG
Molecule: ribosomal RNA, 466 nt
Filed under: uncultured bacterium
Lineage: Bacteria
Description: partial 16S ribosomal RNA
Rfam family: Bacterial small subunit ribosomal RNA
Source: RNAcentral